Molecule: non-coding RNA, 479 nt
Organism: Chiloscyllium plagiosum (whitespotted bambooshark)
Lineage: Eukaryota; Metazoa; Chordata; Chondrichthyes; Orectolobiformes; Hemiscylliidae
Source: RefSeq, a predicted model, not a curated record
AAAGUGGUGGGGAAAGGAUGUUUCUUUGAAGUUGCCACCAGUUUGGAGCAUUUUCGUUUGGCCCUGUUGGGAAACGUUUAUGCACGAAACGUCAGACAAUCUUCGUACGCCUUCGUUUUGGGUGCUUCCUUUACUCAGCACUUGAAUCUCAGUUGUGCUGAGUCCAACACCGGUAUCUCCAAAUCGGAGCUGAAACAUGAUCUUGUUCAGUAACUCCCAUAAAGAUUCGUGUGAGCCUGGGUUGAACCGUUCCAGAACAGUGUUUCUGAGGGAGGUCAUAAAAAACAGCCUUCAAGCAGCCCAUUGCUGCAAUGGUCUACAUGGUGCUCUCCAUUCAGCAGUUAUUGACUGUGAGGACCAUCUCUUUGCAAACGCCAAUUCAUGGACAUAUAAUGGACAUAUUCAGCAUGCAACCCUUGAGCUGCAUCUCUCCUCAACAUGAUGGUCCCCAUCAUCACCUUCAUUUCAAUUCGCCCAAA